ACCUAACAGCUAGCCCGUUAUUAAAAUACAACAAUUCAAUAUAAAUUAACCCCAAAUACACUAAAAUCAAAUAAACAAAUCAUUUUUCCACCUUAGUAUGGGCGACAGAAAAGGUAAGUAGGAGCAAUAGAGAAAGUACCGCAAGGGAACGCUGAAAGAGAAAUGAAAUAAAUCAGUAAAGUAUAAAAAAGCAGAGAUUAACACU
This 205-nucleotide ribosomal RNA is filed under the name Trichogaster lalius (dwarf gourami). Its description in RNAcentral is "partial 16S ribosomal RNA". The record is from RNAcentral. Lineage: Eukaryota; Metazoa; Chordata; Actinopteri; Anabantiformes; Osphronemidae.